GUCUAGUUCGUACAGUGGUUAGUACCCCGCAUUGUGGUUGCGGAAACCUGGGUUCGAUUCCCAGACUGGACA
This 72-nucleotide transfer RNA is filed under the name Seminavis robusta. It matches the Rfam family "tRNA". From Rfam's summary of the family: Transfer RNA (tRNA) molecules are approximately 80 nucleotides in length. Lineage: Eukaryota; Bacillariophyta; Bacillariophyceae; Naviculales; Naviculaceae. The record is from Rfam by way of RNAcentral.